GCUUCUCUUUGGUUGUUAUGGCUGCUGUCUUCUCCUUCAUUCAGUUUGCGUCCCAUUUGGGCUGCGCCAAGAUUUAGAUACACCAUUCUUGAAUCAAGGUUAAGGUUCGCCAUGUUUCCACUGCUCGUGCUACUGCAGGCAUGAUCUUCAGUACUCAUUGGAGGAUAAAUUGUGGUGGAAGAAGGUGCAUUGGCAUUGCCCUCCUCGCGGGAAAUUACCAAGGCAGCAGAUUGGACGAGCUCCAGGCAAAGCCUCAACUUGUUUGGUUAUAUCUCCAUGAAUAUCGAACAAACUUUUGCAAGCUAGUUUAAUCAGAGCCCCAUUUCAUGGAAAUAUUGUUCAAUAUAGAGAAAGAGGAAUUGAAGUGUAGUUGAGUUAAUACUGAUGAUCAUGGGAGUGAUGAUACAUUGAAGGGUCAUGUCGAUUCAUGGCUUCUCUUUGGUUGUUAUGGCUGCUGUCUUCUCCUUCAUUCAGUUUGCGUCCCAUUUGGGCUGCGCCAAGAUUUAGAUACACCAUUCUUGAAUCAAGGUUAAGGUUCGCCAUGUUUCCACUGCUCGUGCUACUGCAGGCAUGAUCUUCAGUACUCAUUGGAGGAUAAAUUGUGGUGGAAGAAGGUGCAUUGGCAUUGCCCUCCUCGCGGGAAAUUACCAAGGCAGCAGAUUGGACGAGCUCCAGGCAAAGCCUCAACUUGUUUGGUUCAAUGUGUGUGAGUCCGGGCACAGCCCCUUUGAAGAGAAAAUCAGAAGUUAGGGUUCGAAGGACAU
RNAcentral lists this long non-coding RNA (764 nucleotides) under Olea europaea (common olive). RNAcentral describes it as "long non-coding RNA (OEUR_LNC015442)". The record is from RNAcentral. Lineage: Eukaryota; Viridiplantae; Streptophyta; Magnoliopsida; Lamiales; Oleaceae.